UACGAAGGGUGCAAGCGUUACUCGGAAUUACUGGGCGUAAAGCGUGCGUAGGUGGUUGUUUAAGUCUGCUGUGAAAGCCCUGGGCUCAACCUGGGAAUUGCAGUGGAUACUGGGCGACUAGAGUGUGGUAGAGGAUAGUGGAAUUUCCGGUGUAGCAGUGAAAUGCGUAGAGAUCGGAAGGAACAUCUGUGGCGAAGGCGACUAUCUGGGCCAACACUGACACUGAGGUGCGAAAGCGUGGGGAGCAAACAGG
RNAcentral lists this ribosomal RNA (253 nucleotides) under uncultured bacterium. RNAcentral's name for it is "partial 16S ribosomal RNA". It matches the Rfam family "Bacterial small subunit ribosomal RNA", at positions 524 to 776 of the family's 1533-position model. The record is from RNAcentral.